RNAcentral lists this long non-coding RNA (3229 nucleotides) under Homo sapiens (human). RNAcentral's name for it is "HSALNT0320422". The record is from RNAcentral. Lineage: Eukaryota; Metazoa; Chordata; Mammalia; Primates; Hominidae.
GCCUCCAGAGAUAGACAUGCAUGACUCAAGCCAGCUCCCUUGAUUAAAAGUCCAGUGCUUUUUGCAUCACACUGGAAUGUGGAGCCCCCAAACACUUACACCUGCAGCAUGUAUUACCAAGAGGCAAAUGUCACUUUUUAAAGCAAAACAUCCUUGCCUACUACGGCAUGGCUUUCAUUAUAAAUUCCACAUCAGCCAGCAGCAAUGCUGACCUUUUGCUGCUGCUCAGAGAGAGGCACUGCCCCAGUUUAUCCUCUAACUCAGCCCAAUCUCUGUGUUCUGUCCUUAAUAGCUGUUAGAAAUACCCCUGUCUUUUCACUUUCAAGCUACCACCUCUGGGGUAGCACUCGUCCUCACCUCUCCUCGACUGGUUGAUGACAGAGCUUUUUGCCCAACUGGUGAUACCACUGUGACAUAUGUUCUUCUCUGCAAGAGCACCCUUGUCUUCAAGCAUGCCAAGAUUUUCACCAGAAUCAAGAGACCUAGAUUUAACAGCUCAUUCUUCUUAAACUGACCAUUUAAAUUUUGAGUUCCAAAUGUUCUCAUCUAUAAAAAGGGAUAUGCAGGGAUAUUACAAGAAGUUAAGGUAUGCGAAAGUGCUUAAUAAAAUGUGAAAUGAUUUUCAAAUUUAAGGUAGUUUUCUAUCUCAUCAUUGCUCCGCUUAUGCAUUUCCAUUAACUUUUAUUCUGGAGUCGACUUCCUCAAAGCCACAUGAGUUGACCAGCUUUGCUUUGGAAGGCCAAGUCUCACGGGGAUGUCCACUCAUUCAUCGUGAUGGCACCAGUGACGACUCUCGAACUUAGGAGCAGAAAAAGAAGGAAUGGCCAUGUGACUUAUGUCCAUGGAAAACCUGUUCUUGAGCGUUUUUCCAGACUGUGAUUGGCUGUGGAUAACAAACUGCGGAAUGCGAAACUGUUGAUAAGGGUGGACUACUGUAACUCUGGACAAUUUCCUCAACUCUGCCCAAUAUCAAAGGAAGGCUCUUCAGGCUCCAAGCAUUGUCAGUGAUGUGCUACAAAGAGGAACAACUAAGCUGACACAGAUAUGAAGGCAGCAAUGACACUGAACUGCCAGAAUAGUGAUCCUCAAAGGUGGACAGGUGUCACACCUGAAUCCCUGGGGGUCAGGACCAAUCAACUUCCCCGCCUACCCCAACCGUGGCCACUCUUUCUAGUCAUAGUUUAUCUUAUGCCUCAGGGGCAGUAAUGGGGUUAAGAAAUGGUAGAAAGUAUGUACCCAAAUUCUCAAUCACAUUUGAUUGUUCACUAGAACUUUUUCUAAGAAGACUAAAUGGUGAGAACGGGGGGAUGGCCCUCCAGGAAAAUUCAGGUAGGUGUCAUAAUAUUUAAUGAAAGAGGCAUUUCCUUUUUUAAUCCUUUGUAGGGUCAGAAAAGAAAAAAAUUCAAGAUAUGCAAAGGAAGCCAGAUCAAAAUCCCCUUGGCCAUGGAUACUGGUGCCCUACAUCAGCACCCUUCAAGAGUGUGGAUGAGGCUGAGUAGGUGGGAACCUGCAUCCCUUGAAAGAAGCAGGCAAGGACAGGGUAGUGACAAGUGCUGGUCACUUGUGAGGGCUGCCUCCCCAUCCAGUUCCCUCUGCAGCCAGGAGCAGGAGUUGUUUCUGGCUCAAGCCAGCCCCCAUGGCCGCCAUUCCCUUAUAUGACCCUGCUUCGCAGGGUAACGUACCAGACAGUUUCACGCUCGUUAUCCUUGCAACGGAUUACUCGGUGAGGAGCAUCAGAGAACUGAAAAGACAGACUGACUUCGACUUGAAUCCUGGCUCUUCCUCUUACUAGUUUCAUGGCCUUGGAUGGAAAAAUGAGUUAUUCCACUGAAGCCAGGAAAAUCCAUGCUGGCACCCUAGCAGUCCAUCAGAAAGUCGUUAUUUCUCCACUGUCAGAGAUCCUGUCCUGAAUAUGCAGCCUAGCACAGCAUGUUAUGGAGCUGCCUCUGGGAUCAAGGGAAAGGAGAACUCAGUACCCUGAGGUGCACAAAAGGCACUGCACAAGAAGGCCCACAUUGACGUGCAGAAGGAAGUGAAGAGGAAGGAGUGAUACAUUCUGAAAUGGUUGAAGAGCCGAAAAAAGGCAAAGCAUUGAGGAAAGUGAGAACUGAGGAAAAGGGCACUGGAUUUGAUGACUCACUACUCUCCUUUAGUGAACUUUAAUAGAAGAGUUUCAGUAGAGUAAUAGAAACCAAAAUUGCAACCAGUUCAACGAGUAGGAGGCAAAGAAAUGCCAGUGAACAUAGAUUAUGCUUGAAAUGAAUGCAAGAGAUGAGACAGCUGACUUCAGAAAGCAGCGGAUUCAACAGAAGAUUGUUUAAUUGGCUGACAAUUUUUAUGAUAAGAAAGACCAGAAAAGGUCUAUAGGCUAAUGGGGGAGAGGAUAGUGGGAAAAGAUUGUAGAGGUUUGGGAGGUUUUUGUCCUCAGAUAGGAGGAAAGAGAGAAGGUACAUGGCACCUAAUACAUACUCAAUACGUAUUUGUUGAAUUAAAAAGGAUCUAGUUUGGAGGAUGCUAACUCUUAUGGGGAGUAAUAGUAUAAUAAUUAAGUCAAAUCUUAGCAAGAGGUGGUUCCUGGAAGAACUCAGGUCUCAUUUGAAGGGAUCCCAAGAUCCCUUGAGCCAGGCACUUCUCCCCAUGCAGGAAUAUAGAGCCAUUGAUACCAGAGAUUCUGAUGGCAAAAAGCUGGAUUUUUGUGGGAGAUUUCUUUAUUUUUAAACUUUGACAACUGUUUUAAACAACGUUAAUCCAACAAAAUAGCCAAUAUUCAGUCAAUUGGCAACCACUUGGUAACUUGUAUUUUAGCACAUAUUUCUCUAGAUCAUACUUGCUUGAAUGGCAUUUAACAGUUUUAUUGAUAUAUAAUUUACAAAUACAAUUCACCCAUUUAAAGUGUACAAUUCAACUGCUUUUAGAAAUUUCCAGAUAUGUGUAACCAUCACCACAGAGCAUUUAAAAAAUUUUCAUCACCUCAAAAAGAAACCUGGGGGUUCUUUAGCUAUCACUCCCCUAUUUCCUCACUCCCCCAACCCCAAGCAACCACUAACCUACGUUCUCUAUACAUUUGCUUAUUCUGUAUUUUAUUUGAAUGAAAUUGUGUAAAAUGUAGUCUUCUGUGACUGGCAUAUUUCACUUAGGGGAUAGGUUUUUUUUUGUUUUUGUUUUCAAGUAAAGAAGUGAGAAUGUGAAAAAUUUGGAGGGAUUUUAAUCUCAGUGAAAGGGAAGGCCA